CCUACGGGCGGCAGUAGUGAGGAAUAUUGGUCAAUGGACGAGAGUCUGAACCAGCCAAGUAGCGUGAAGGAUGACUGCCCUAUGGGUUGUAAACUUCUUUUAUAUGGGAAUAAAAUGUUCCACGUGUGGGAUUUUGUAUGUACCAUAUGAAUAAGGAUCGGCUAACUCCGUGCCAGCAGCCGCGGUAAUACGGAGGAUCCGAGCGUUAUCCGGAUUUAUUGGGUUUAAAGGGAGCGUAGGUGGAUUGUUAAGUCAGUUGUGAAAGUUUGCGGCUCAACCGUAAAAUUGCAGUUGAAACUGGCAGUCUUGAGUACAGUAGAGGUGGGCGGAAGCCGUGGUGUAGCGGUGAAAUGCUUAGAUAUCACGAAGAACUCCGAUUGCGAAGGCAGUUCACUGGACUGCAACUGACACUGAGGCUCGAAAGUGUGGGUAUCAAACAGGAUUAGAUACCCUAGUAGUC
RNAcentral lists this ribosomal RNA (460 nucleotides) under uncultured bacterium. RNAcentral describes it as "partial 16S ribosomal RNA". It matches the Rfam family "Bacterial small subunit ribosomal RNA", at positions 338 to 795 of the family's 1533-position model. The record is from RNAcentral.